Molecule: ribosomal RNA, 288 nt
Filed under: uncultured bacterium
Lineage: Bacteria
Description: partial 16S ribosomal RNA
Rfam family: Bacterial small subunit ribosomal RNA
Source: RNAcentral
GGAUUAGAUACCCUGGUAGUCCACGCUGUAAACGAUGAUCACUAAGUGUUCGGCCUUCGGGUUGAGUGCUCAAGCGAAAGCGAUAAGUGAUCCACCUGGGGAGUACGUCGGCAACGAUGAAACUCAAAGGAAUUGACGGGGGCCCGCACAAGCGGUGGAGCAUGUGGUUUAAUUCGAUGAUACGCGAGGAACCUUACCUAGGCUACAAUGCCUCUGCUACUGGGUGAAAGCUCAGGUUCCUUCGGGACAGAGUGCAAGGUGCUGCAUGGUUGUCGUCAGCUCGUGCUG